RNAcentral lists this ribosomal RNA (301 nucleotides) under uncultured bacterium. Its description in RNAcentral is "partial 16S ribosomal RNA". It matches the Rfam family "Bacterial small subunit ribosomal RNA", at positions 509 to 809 of the family's 1533-position model. The record is from RNAcentral.
CAGCCGCCGCGGUAAUACGAGGGGGGCAAGCGUUGUUCGGAAUUAUUGGGCGUAAAGGGUGCGUAGGCGGUUUGACAAGUCUUAUGUGAAAUCCCCGAGCUCAACUUGGGAACUGCGUUUGGAACUGUUUAACUAGAGUGCGUCAGAGGGGGGUGGAAUUCCGCGUGUAGCAGUGAAAUGCGUAGAGAUGCGGAGGAACACCGAUGGCGAAGGCAGCCCCCUGGGAUGACACUGACGCUCAUGCACGAAAGCGUGGGGAGCAAACAGGAUUAGAUACCCCCGUAGUCCCUGUCUCUUAUAA